UACGAAGGGGGCUAGCGUUGUUCGGAAUCACUGGGCGUAAAGGGCGCGUAGGCGGCUUUAUAAGUCGGGGGUGAAAGCCUGUGGCUCAACCGCAGAAUUGCCUUCGAUACUGUAGAGCUUGAGACCGGAAGAGGUAAGUGGAACUGCGAGUGUAGAGGUGAAAUGCGUAGAUAUCUGGAGGAAUACCGGUGGCGAAGGCGGCAUCCUGGACCGACAUUGACGCUGAGGAGCGAAAGCUAGGGGAGCAAACGGG
This 253-nucleotide ribosomal RNA is filed under the name uncultured bacterium. RNAcentral describes it as "partial 16S ribosomal RNA". It matches the Rfam family "Bacterial small subunit ribosomal RNA", at positions 524 to 776 of the family's 1533-position model. The record is from RNAcentral.